AUACAGUAAGAUUUUGCUAUAUUUAUCGAGGCAUGAGAGGCGCGGGGGAGGGGGCAAGAUGGUGGCUUUGGCACUAUAGGGUCAGGAAUACAUUUUUCUGUUCCUGACCCUAUAUUGAUCCUUUAAGCAAUUUUUUUAAAGAGCUUUAAAUUCUAGCUAUGCAUUGUGGAUUCAUAUUUUCCAGCAAAUGUUUAGACUGCGAGAAACACCUAUUUAAAAA
Pelobates cultripes (western spadefoot toad) is the source of this 220-nucleotide non-coding RNA. Lineage: Eukaryota; Metazoa; Chordata; Amphibia; Anura; Pelobatidae. The record is from the annotation of a GenBank genome assembly.